GUGACAUCCUCAGUCCUGCAAUUAGGGUCCCACGUGUGCCUAAUACUUGACGACAGAUGUGUGAUGAUGAUGCUAUGCUGGGAGCCAUGCAGGAUGCCAAACUGUAGGCCAAGAGGAAGAGGAGGAACAAAGGUGCCUGGUUUAAGGGGAGAACAAGACCACAGACUACUGACAACAUCAUGAUGUUCCCCUCCAGCCACAAGACCUGGCAGUGGAUGGGGAGACAGGGACCCCCGAGACGCUGAGUUCAGCUCGGGACAUCCCGGUGGAGCCCCUGGUGGGAAGCAGCUGUUCUACCUGCCAGGACACGAGCCCGGGACCGCACAGAUGCAGUGACACCCAGUGCCCGGCACAGCAGGAGGAGCCCAUGUGCCCGAGCUCUCUGGAUGAGGCCUGCACGAUGCUGACCCUCGGCGAAAGAACUGUGGAGAUGUUGGUCUCCCUGAUGCAAACCUCCCCUGGGCGGAAGUUCUCCUCUGUUACCACCAUCCUUCCUACCGGCCUGGCCUUCCCCAUUCCCGCGCGGAUCCUGCAGCAGAUGCUGCGCUGACAUUGCUCCAGCCCCAGCAGUUGUCCCAGAACCACCUGAGGAGCUGGGCCUGCCUCCGCGGGAUGCCCCAGAGCCGGAGCCUCUCGAAGCCUCAGCUGCGGCCGCAGCACAAUGGGCAGAGCUGGAGGACGCCGGGCC
This is a long non-coding RNA of Sorex araneus (European shrew), 688 nucleotides long. RefSeq lists it as uncharacterized. The record is from RefSeq and is a predicted model, not a curated record. NCBI's taxonomy places the organism in Eukaryota, Metazoa, Chordata, Mammalia, Eulipotyphla, Soricidae. The transcript is spliced from 5 exons.